AGUGGCGAACGGGUGAGUAACGCGUGAGUAUCUGCCCUUAGGAGGGGGACAACAGUUGGAAACGACUGCUAAUACCCCAUAUGUCUACGGAUGAAAUAUUUUAUCGCCUGAGGAUGAGUUCGCGUCUGAUUAGCUAGUUGGUGAGGUAAAGGCUCACCAAGGCGACGAUCAGUAGCUGGUCUGAGAGGAUGAUCAGCCACACUGGGACUGAGACACGACCCAGACUCCUACGGGAGGCAGCAGUGGGGAAUUUUCCGCAAUGGGGGCAACCCUGACGGAGCAAUACCGCGUGCGGGAGGACGGCCUGUGGGUUGUAAACCGCUUUUCUCAGGGAAGAAGACCUGACGGUACCUGAGGAAUCAGCAUCGGCUAACUCCGUGCCAGCAGCCGCGGUAAUACGGAGGAUGCAAGCGUUAUCCGGAAUUAUUGGGCGUAAAGCGUCCGUAGGUGGUUAAUCAAGUCUGCUGUUAAAGAGCGGAGCUCAACUCCGUUUAAGCGGUGGAAACUGGUUGACUAGAGAGUGGUAGGGGUAGAGGGAAUUCCCAGUGUAGCGGUGAAAUGCGUAGAUAUUGGGAAGAACACCGGUGGCGAAAGCGCUCUACUGGGCCACAUCUGACACUGAUGGACGAAAGCUAGGGGAGCGAAAGGGAUUAGAUACCCC
Molecule: ribosomal RNA, 661 nt
Filed under: uncultured bacterium
Lineage: Bacteria
Description: bacterial SSU rRNA
Rfam family: Bacterial small subunit ribosomal RNA
Source: RNAcentral